Molecule: long non-coding RNA, 1339 nt
Organism: Felis catus (domestic cat)
Lineage: Eukaryota; Metazoa; Chordata; Mammalia; Carnivora; Felidae
Exons: 3
Source: RefSeq, a predicted model, not a curated record
UGCUGCGCUGGGAGCUGGGAGGGGGCGAAGGCCCGCACGUGUGCAGGGGGAGGGGGCGUCCGCGCGGUAGGCGGGGCUGCCCCCACGUGGAGCCGCAGCCACGCACCCACGCUGAGCGCAGCAGCCUCCGCGCUCGGGGCCCCAGCACGUGGCGCCUCCCUGCGCGCGUGCGCCUGCGGCGGGCCUGAACUCCCAGUGCGGGCCAGAGCGCGCGGGCGCUGGCGUCCCCGUGCCUACCCGGGAGGCGCGCCGGAGACUCGGGCGCCCUGCUUCCGAGGGUCGUCCCCGGCCCACCGCACGCUAGGGGCACAGCAGAGCCAGAUCCCGAGACCGCCGGCCCCGGGCAGGUGCAGCCCUUCGGCCACGCGGAGUUCUAGCCGCCCAGGUGCCGCCAGAGGCCCCGCCCCGGCCUGUGGCAGAAGAGCGGAGCCCGCCCCCCCUCACGUGCUGGCGUCGGUCUCGCGUGCAGAUGGGGCGCGAGCCCGGAGGUCACAGGAGGAAACUUAGUGUUGAGUUUAGACCGUGAGAACGCGACCUCUUGCGUCCCGCCGCGCCACCUCCCGGUCUGCCUCCCUUUUAAAAGUUCCAGUAGGUGAACGGUGAUGCUCCUUGGGCCCGCCCCACUGUGAUCCCGACCCUCAAAACUACCGCCUCUUUGCCGUAGAGGAGCCAAAUCUCGGAUUCCAAAUUGGAGGACGUAGCAACAGUUUAGUGGAGGAAGACAGGAGAAAGGAAAAGGGCCCAACUGGAUGGAAAGCAAGCCCUGGGACCCGACCAGUCUGCUGAGACAAAUGCGGUGGACCCAAGUUCCUGUCUGCCACCUCACCUUGGGCUGUGUUCUGGCGUCUCUUCGAUACCUGUGAUUCCUCAAAAUGGACCGCAUGCUAGGAGUAAAGAGAAGAAAGUAAACCGACUCCUCCACAGACUCCUUUAGACAGUCUUCAAAGUGGUGCUCCGAAUUAGACCGUCUUAACAGAGCAAGGAGAGAACAGAUUUAUACACAGGCUAAUGAAGAACCAGACUCUACCCAACCAGGUUUUUCGUAUAUGAUUGAAAAAGUCCACCAUCUCUAGUAUUAUGGAUCAGUUAUUAAACUUGUUAACAUCAGGAAUUAAUCCUAAUUCAUGGACUUUAAAAUCUACCUCUGAUAAAUGCCUAAAGAAGAGUCCAAGACCAAGCCAAUAUCCACCUACACCUUCAGGACAACAUUCACGUUGGCCACUGCAGAAAACUACAACUCCCGCUUAUCCCAUCCCUCCCUCCCCCAGCCAGGCCACAAAGAGGCACCACUGUCGAACUUGAAUGAAUAGAUUAAAAAAUGUAGUAAUUUACCUGUCAA